This is a long non-coding RNA of Felis catus (domestic cat), 460 nucleotides long. RefSeq lists it as uncharacterized. The transcript has 3 exons. The record is from RefSeq and is a predicted model, not a curated record. NCBI's taxonomy places the organism in Eukaryota, Metazoa, Chordata, Mammalia, Carnivora, Felidae.
GUCUAAAACCAGUUACACUGGGCUGAAAACCAAUGUGUUGGCAGGCCACACUCCCUCUGGAGGCUCUAGGGGAGACUCGCUCCUUGUCUCUUCCAGCUCCUGGUGGCUGCCUGUGACAUAUAACCACCGAUGCUUUUGCAUCAUUGGAGGAAGUCGUCACGGACGUGACCCCUGGUUGCCCCUUGACCUGACCCGGGGUAUCCGAGGCUCCUCCCUGUUCGUGGAACAUCCGGCCCACUUGCCGUUCGGCUGUGGGAGCCGUUCAAGGACGGAGUCUCGAGAAAGGUGCUGUUGAGACCGUCUGGACGGCGCGCUGAAUGCAGAUGGCAGGGAUUUGGUGACGCUCAGGACGGGCGCAGAGAUGCACUGGUCCUGUGGCCACCCAAGACAAGCCUCGUAGAGAGACAGAGCAUGAGCAGGGGUGGGGCAGAGAGAGAGGGAGACACAGAAUCUGAAGCAG